AAAAGAUGGUAUGCGCUGAAAAUGAGUGACACUUUAUGAAAUGCUGCUAAAUAUAUAUAUAUAUAUUUUUUCUCCAUAACGUUUCUUGGGCAAGGUAUUUGAUCGAUCAUUAGCAAUUAGUGGAGGAGAAAAGCAAUUAGAAAAGGGCAAAUUAUAUAAUGCUCUCUGUGCCUAUGCACCAUCACUCAUACAGGACUGAGUUUCAGAAAACUACUUUGUUGAGUGAUCAGUGUAUUGUUUUUUAAUGCAUCAAGUAUAUUUAAUUUAAACAAAGUGAGAAAGGAAGUCCAAAAUGCUGCCAAUUUGAGGACUAUAUGUAAUGACAUUCCUUUUGCGAACCUCAUUGAUAUAUAGAAGUUCUAAUUUGGUUCUAUUAUGUAAAUCACUUCAGCAUAGGGCUGUCUUGUGAUGCUAGUAAAAAGAGAUUUUAGUUUCAAAAUGAUUAAACCAAA
RNAcentral lists this unclassified non-coding RNA (452 nucleotides) under Hevea brasiliensis (rubber tree). The record is from RNAcentral. Lineage: Eukaryota; Viridiplantae; Streptophyta; Magnoliopsida; Malpighiales; Euphorbiaceae.